AGAUUGAACGCUGGCGGCAUGCCUUACACAUGCAAGUUGAACGGCAGCACGGGAGCAAUCCUGGUGGCGAGUGGCGAACGGGUGAGUAAUACAUCGGAACGUGCCCAGUAGUGGGGGAUAACCCGGCGAAAGCCGGACUAAUACCGCAUACGACCUACGGGUGAAAGCAGGGGAUCGCAAGACCUUGCGCUAUUGGAGCGGCCGAUGUCAGAUUAGCUUGUUGGUGGGUAAAAGCCCACCAAGGCGACGAUCUGUAGCUGGUCUGAGAGGACGACCAGCCACACUGGGACUGAGACACGGCCCAGACUCCUACGGGGGGCAGCAGUGAGGAAUUUUCGGCAAUGGGGGAAACCCUGACCGAGCAACGCCGCGUGCAGGAAGACGGCCUUCGGUGUAACUGCUUUCUUUGGACGAGCAAGGAUGGUACCAGAGAAUCAGCCCGGCUCACUACGUGCCAGCAGCCGC
This 465-nucleotide ribosomal RNA is filed under the name uncultured bacterium. Its description in RNAcentral is "SSU rRNA". It matches the Rfam family "Bacterial small subunit ribosomal RNA", at positions 26 to 518 of the family's 1533-position model. The record is from RNAcentral.